AGCGAACGCUGGCGGCAGGCCUAACACAUGCAAGUCGAACGAACUCUUCGGAGUUAGUGGCGGACGGGUGAGUAACACGUGGGAACGUGCCUUUUGGUUCGGAAUAACUCAGGGAAACUUGUGCUAAUACCGAAUGUGCCCUUCGGGGAAAGAUUUAUCGCCAUUAGAGCGGCCCGCGUCUGAUUAGCUAGUUGGUGAGGUAACGGCUCGCCAAGGCGACGAUCAGUAGCUGGUCUGAGAGGAUGACCAGCCACACUGGGACUGAGACACGGCCCAGACUCCUACGGGAGGCAGCAGUGGGGAAUCUUGCGCAAUGGGCGAAAGCCUGACGCAGCCAUGCCGCGUGAAUGAUGAAGGUCUUAGGAUUGUAAAAUUCUUUCACCGGGGACGAUAAUGACGGUACCCGGAGAAGAAGCCCCGGCUAACUUCGUG
This 432-nucleotide ribosomal RNA is filed under the name uncultured bacterium. RNAcentral's name for it is "partial 16S ribosomal RNA". It matches the Rfam family "Bacterial small subunit ribosomal RNA", at positions 29 to 507 of the family's 1533-position model. The record is from RNAcentral.